GCAGUCGCCACGGGAAUACGGAGGGUGCAAGCGUUAAUCGGAAUUACUGGGCGUAAAGCGUGCGCAGGCGGUUCGUUAAGACAGAUGUGAAAUCCCCGGGCUUAACCUGGGAACUGCAUUUGUGACUGGCGAGCUAGAGUAUGGCAGAGGGGGGUAGAAUUCCACGUGUAGCAGUGAAAUGCGUAGAGAUGUGGAGGAAUACCGAUGGCGAAGGCAGCCCCCUGGGCCAAUACUGACGCUCAUGCACGAAAGCGUGGGGAGCAAACAGGAUUAGAUACCCGCGUAGUCCCUGUCUCUUAUAC
RNAcentral lists this ribosomal RNA (302 nucleotides) under uncultured bacterium. RNAcentral describes it as "partial 16S ribosomal RNA". It matches the Rfam family "Bacterial small subunit ribosomal RNA", at positions 508 to 807 of the family's 1533-position model. The record is from RNAcentral.